UUGGGUAAACAGAUAGUUGCUGCAAAUGCAGAGGAAAGUCCGGGCUGCAGCAAGGCAGGAUUCCACCUAACUGGUGGCUGGGGUAACCCAAGGGCAAGUGCAACAGAGAGUAGACCGCCUACCUUUUGGUAGGUAAGGGUGAAAGGGUGGUGUAAGAGACCACCAGUGCUUAUGGCAACAUAAGCAGCUAGGUAAACCCAAUCCGCAGCAAGAAGCACCUGGUAUAAGCCUUGCAAUUGUGUGCUUCGCAAGAGAUAGCUAGCAAUAGCUAUCCUAGAUAAAUAACUAUCUAAUACAGAACCCGGCUUAUAGUUUACCCAAACUA
This 325-nucleotide RNase P RNA is filed under the name Campylobacterota bacterium. Its description in RNAcentral is "Epsilonproteobacteria bacterium (hydrothermal vent metagenome) RNase P RNA component class A". It matches the Rfam family "Bacterial RNase P class A". Rfam says of the family: Ribonuclease P (RNase P) is a ubiquitous endoribonuclease, found in archaea, bacteria and eukarya as well as chloroplasts and mitochondria. Its best characterised activity is the generation of mature 5'-ends of tRNAs by cleaving the 5'-leader elements of precursor-tRNAs. Lineage: Bacteria; Pseudomonadati; Campylobacterota. The record is from RNAcentral.